CGACGGGAGCUUGCUCCCUUAGGUCAGCGGCGGACGGGUGAGUAACACGUGGGUAACCUGCCUGUAAGACUGGGAUAACUCCGGGAAACCGGGGCUAAUACCGGAUGCUUGAUUGAACCGCAUGGUUCAAUCAUAAAAGGUGGCUUUUAGCUACCACUURCAGAUGGACCCGCGGCGCAUUAGCUAGUUGGUGAGGUAACGGCUCACCAAGGCGACGAUGCGUAGCCGACCUGAGAGGGUGAUCGGCCACACUGGGACUGAGACACGGCCCAGACUCCUACGGGAGGCAGCAGUAGGGAAUCUUCCGCAAUGGACGAAAGUCUGACGGAGCAACGCCGCGUGAGUGAUGAAGGUUUUCGGAUCGUAAAACUCUGUUGUUAGGGAAGAACAAGUACCGUUCGAAUAGGGCGGYACCUUGACGGUACCUAACCAGAAAGCCACGGCUAACUACGU
Molecule: ribosomal RNA, 453 nt
Filed under: Bacillus licheniformis
Lineage: Bacteria; Bacillati; Bacillota; Bacilli; Caryophanales; Bacillaceae
Description: bacterial SSU rRNA
Rfam family: Bacterial small subunit ribosomal RNA
Source: RNAcentral